This 76-nucleotide transfer RNA is filed under the name Candidatus Cloacimonadota bacterium. RNAcentral describes it as "tRNA-Ala". It matches the Rfam family "tRNA". From Rfam's summary of the family: Transfer RNA (tRNA) molecules are approximately 80 nucleotides in length. Their secondary structure includes four short double-helical elements and three loops (D, anti-codon, and T loops). Lineage: Bacteria; Pseudomonadati; Candidatus Cloacimonadota. RNAcentral also lists the same sequence under 1 other name. The record is from RNAcentral.
GGGGCUAUAACUCAAAUGGGAGAGUGUUGCCCUUGCAAGGCAAAAGUUGUCAGUUCGAAUCUGACUAGCUCCACCA